GUUUAACAAAAGGAGCCUUGAUGUGACUCUCUCCUUGGCGAGAGACCUGCCAUGCCAGGCUGGGGAUCGGGGUUCUCUACCCUUAUGUGGGAAAACAGAUGUUAUGCCACAGUCCUGGGAGCUCUUUCUGGAAUGGUUGACAACAGGCUUGCUGGGACAGAGUCCUUCAGCUCAACAGGGCCGGGAUAGAAGUUAUGCUUGUCUGCAGAGUACAGAUGAGGGAACAGGGACUGAGCUGCUUUGCAGGGUGUGAUGGUAAGUUUUAUGUGUCAACUUGACAGGCUGCCUAGAUAGCUGGUAAAAAAUCAUUUCUCAGGGUGUGGGGUGUUUCUGGAAAAGAUUUAACUCAGUGGACUAAGAAGAUUCACCCUCACCAAUGAAGAUAGGUGUCAUCCAAGUUACUGAGGGCCUGAUUAGAACAAAAUGUGGAGGGAGGCCGGAUUUGUUCCCUGCUUAAACUAAGACUUCCAUCUUCUCCCCAAGUCGUUGCUGCUCCUGGUCCUCUGCCUUCUGAUUCAGACUGAGACUUAUACAUGGGCUUCCCCAGUUCUCAGUCCAUAGGGCCUGAACAGGAACCAUACCACCUAUGUUCUUGGGCCUCUAGCUGUCAGAUGGCAGACUGUGGGGUUUCUCAGCCCCCAUCAUUGUGAGAGCCAACUCCUCUCUUUCUGUGUGUCUGCACAUCUCUUUUUUGUUCUUUUUCUCUGGAGAACCCUGAUCAACUCAUGAAGUCAUCCAGGAAGGGGAAAACAUCAUGGGCCUGGGCCUAUGCCCCAUUCCUGGCUGCUGUGGUGACAAACUGCUCCACUUUGUCUGAGACGGAAGGUUUCUGGGAGAAUAUGGAACAUUCACUGUAAACACCAGAGUGCCCUGGGCAAACUAGGUAAACAACAGGUGGCUGAAGAUCUAUGCCUCCUAAACAAAUGGGAAGUUCUGAAUGGGAAACUUAUAUCAGUGGCUGGACCCCUUUCCCAGGACCUCCUGUCACCACUGGCCCUGCCACUACAGGAUCCAUGACUAUUGCUGUGCAUGUACCUGCUGGAAGCCACCGAC
Molecule: long non-coding RNA, 1053 nt
Filed under: Heterocephalus glaber (naked mole-rat)
Lineage: Eukaryota; Metazoa; Chordata; Mammalia; Rodentia; Bathyergidae
Description: lncRNA (ENSHGLG00100043154.1)
Source: RNAcentral